CAAAUGGUCAACAUGUGUCCCUCUCGCAGCCAGAGUGGUGUUUAUACGGAUAAAACCCAAGCGGAAGACGGGCGUCCUGCUCUCCAGUCAUUUUAAAAGGAGCCAACGUGACUGGAGACUGCGAAUUAGCUGCAAAUCCACAGAACUGUGCAAUUUCACAUCAGCGGCUAACGAGUGUCUUCCGCAGAAAAGCUCUGGGCUGUUUUAUACAUAAUCAUCACACCAGCGCGCCGGUAACAACGUUACAAGAAGUUAAUUUGAGUGGGUGGGGGUCUCCCGCUAUUCUUUUCAGUCCUUCGGGCCAAUAUGCAUUUUCAACUACGGUUUAUUUGAAACCAGCAGCAGCGCACAAACAGUAAGUGGUUCGAAAGGCUUGAAUCGCCACCUGAACGCACCACAGCGGCGCUUUUCUCUUUCGGUUGCACCGACUCUCUCGUCUCUGACACACACACACAAACAGGCGCGCGCACACAUCCAAACCAACACGCGCGCGCGCUCACCCGCGCGCAUACACAAGGGCUAGGCUCCGACCUUCGAAAUUGGAAGAGAAAAAAAAAAACUAGCGCCCGUUUCCUCGAUAUCGCAACGGCUUCCUCAACAAACCCCCUCCUCGCCGCGCGCGCUCGGCCGUUAACGACAAACAACCCCCGGCUCUGGAAGCGUAACUACAGAUUUACAAACAGUCACUCACCGCAAACAAGAAGCUCCGACGCCUAGCGAGGCCACAGGGACGGAGCUGAGCCGUGCCGAGCGCCGGGGAGAGGAGGAGAGAAGCGGCCGGCUGCUGGGAGCCGGGAGGUGGGGCUAUUACUCAGGCAGGGGCCGGACGGACAGACGAGCCGGAGGGGGCGGGGGAACAGAAGCACCUGCUCCCCCUCCUCCUCCCCCCCGGCCGUCACGCCUCCAGACCACAGAGCUGACCCCGCAUUGUCCCGCAAAUGGGAUAAAGAAUGUCCCAUCCAUUCCUGACCAGGAUGCAGAGUCACUUCCUGUUCAUAAUAAUCAGCUAAAAACCGCACAUCGGCAAAAAGACGAAUACAGUCAGCCAAAGUUUGGAGUAACCGUCUAUUAGGAUGCAUUUUAUUUGUUGUGCCACUAUGUGCUGAAAGGGUGUCACAGACUGCUAGAAGACCGUAGAGACCACGUGACUAGAGGCGGCGUCCACGCAAGCAAAGUAGCAUACCAGCGAGUGCACGGGCUGUAAAAUCAAAGGCGCACUUGUAAGACGCGUUCUCCCAGAGCCGGGGAUGAAAACGAGGAUUAGGCAGGGCGUGAUAAUGCCGGUCUGUCUUGUCUUUCAUCCAAGUGAUAGUGUAUCCCUCACCUCUACUUGACCUGCAGGAGCGAGCGAGAGAGCAGGCUGACAAGGUAUCCUGACUGUGCAGCGCUGAGCCCUCAGCCUUUGAUCUGCCUGCUGUCGGCGCACAUGCUACCCCCGCGAUACGGAGAGAGCCCCCUUCUGUUCAAUUACUCAAAUUAUCAGCCAUUAGAGUAUUAAAAUGUCUUAGAUGACUCAGAAUUUUUUCACCAAUUAAUCAUUUUUAUCUUUAAUCUUUUUUUUUU
Long non-coding RNA from Betta splendens (Siamese fighting fish), 1563 nucleotides. RefSeq lists it as uncharacterized. Lineage: Eukaryota; Metazoa; Chordata; Actinopteri; Anabantiformes; Osphronemidae. The record is from RefSeq and is a predicted model, not a curated record. The transcript is spliced from 5 exons.